RNAcentral lists this ribosomal RNA (301 nucleotides) under uncultured bacterium. Its description in RNAcentral is "partial 16S ribosomal RNA". It matches the Rfam family "Bacterial small subunit ribosomal RNA", at positions 509 to 807 of the family's 1533-position model. The record is from RNAcentral.
CAGUAGCCGCGGUAAUACGUAGGUGGCAAGCGUUGUCCGGAAUUAUUGGGCGUAAAGGGCUCGCAGGCGGUUUCUUAAGUCUGAUGUGAAAGCCCCCGGCUCAACCGGGGAGGGUCAUUGGAAACUGGGAAACUUGAGUGCAGAAGAGGAGAGUGGAAUUCCAUGUGUAGCGGUGAAAUGCGUAGAGAUGUGGAGGAACACCAGUGGCGAAGGCGACUCUCUGGUCUGUAACUGACGCUGAGGAGCGAAAGCGUGGGGAGCGAACAGGAUUAGAUACCCGUGUAGUCCCUGUCUCUUAUAC